RNAcentral lists this transfer-messenger RNA (244 nucleotides) under Candidatus Omnitrophota bacterium. Its description in RNAcentral is "partial transfer-messenger RNA". It matches the Rfam family "transfer-messenger RNA", at positions 96 to 374 of the family's 374-position model. From Rfam's summary of the family: Bacterial tmRNA, also known as 10Sa RNA or SsrA, is named for its dual tRNA and mRNA-like properties. Its role is to liberate the mRNA from a stalled ribosome. Lineage: Bacteria; Pseudomonadati; Candidatus Omnitrophota. The record is from RNAcentral.
AAUGUCGUUCAUUCCAGCCUUCGGGCUUAAUUAAGUCCGGAGCCUCUAUCUAUCCUGCCUGUGGGAUAAAAUAGAGCGGCUAACAGGCUAGUCUGGGCGAAUUAGCCUUUGGUGUCCAGGCAAAAUUCAAAAAGGAUGCUGCCUGCCCAAUCCUGUUUACCGGAGUGGGCAAGAGUAAGUUUAAAAGAUAAACUAAGCAUGUAGCGACUUUUAUCGGAUUACUUAAGGACGGCGGUUCGAUUCA